Molecule: ribosomal RNA, 451 nt
Filed under: uncultured organism
Description: partial 16S ribosomal RNA
Rfam family: Bacterial small subunit ribosomal RNA
Source: RNAcentral
ACACUCCUGCGGGAGGCAGCAGUGGGGAAUAUUGGACAAUGGGCGCAAGCCUGAUCCAGCCAUGCCGCGUGAGUGAUGAAGGCCCUAGGGUUGUAAAGCUCUUUCACCGGAGAAGAUAAUGACGGUAUCCGGAGAAGAAGCCCCGGCUAACUUCGUGCCAGCAGCCGCGGUAAUACGAAGGGGGCUAGCGUUGUUCGGAAUUACUGGGCGUAAAGCGCACGUAGGCGGAUCGAUCAGUCAGGGGUGAAAUCCCAGGGCUCAACCCUGGAACUGCCUUUGAUACUGUCGAUCUGGAGUAUGGAAGAGGUGAGUGGAAUUCCGAGUGUAGAGGUGAAAUUCGUAGAUAUUCGGAGGAACACCAGUGGCGAAGGCGGCUCACUGGUCCAUUACUGACGCUGAGGUGCGAAAGCGUGGGGAGCAAACAGGAUUAGAUACCCCAGUAGUCCCAUGA